This 500-nucleotide ribosomal RNA is filed under the name uncultured bacterium. RNAcentral's name for it is "partial 16S ribosomal RNA". It matches the Rfam family "Bacterial small subunit ribosomal RNA", at positions 30 to 523 of the family's 1533-position model. The record is from RNAcentral.
AUUGAACGCUGGCGGCAGGCUUAACACAUGCAAGUCGAGCGGAGUGAUGGUGCUUGCACUAUCACUUAGCGGCGGACGGGUGAGUAAUGCUUAGGAAUCUGCCUGGUAGUGGGGGACAACGUGUCGAAAGGAACGCUAAUACCGCAUACGUCCUACGGGAGAAAGCAGGGGACCUGCGGGCCUUGCGCUAUCAGAUGAGCCUAGGUCGGAUUAGCUAGUUGGUGGGGUAAUGGCUCACCAAGGCGACGAUCCGUAACUGGUCUGAGAGGAUGAUCAGUCACACUGGAACUGAGACACGGUCCAGACUCCUACGGGAGGCAGCAGUGGGGAAUAUUAGACAAUGGGCGAAAGCCUGAUCCAGCUAUGCCGCGUGUGUGAAGAAGGUCUUCGGAUUGUAAAGCACUUUAAGUUGGGAGGAAGGGCAGUAAGCUAAUAUCUUGCUGUUUUGACGUUACCGACAGAAUAAGCACCGGCUAACUCUGUGCCAGCCGCCGCAGUAA